GGAACCUGGCCGGCGUGCUUACCAUGCAAGUCGAACGGUGAUGGGGAGCUUGCUUCUCUGAUCAGUGGCGAACGGGUGAGUAACACGUGAGCAAUCUGCCCUUGACUCUGGGAUAACUGCGGGAAACUGUAGCUAAUACCGGAUACGACCUGAAGAGGCAUCUUUUUGGGUGGAAAGAAUUUUGGUCAAGGAUGAGCUCGCGGCCUAUCAGCUUGUUGGUGAGGUAAUGGCUCACCAAGGCGACGACGGGUAGCCGGCCUGAGAGGGUGACCGGCCACACUGGGACUGAGACACGGCCCAGACUCCUACGGGAGGCAGCAGUGGGGAAUAUUGCACAAUGGGCGCAAGCCUGAUGCAGCAACGCCGCGUGAGGGACGAAGGCCUUCGGGUUGUAAACCUCUUUUAGUAGGGAAGAAGCGACUGGGUUUUCCUGGGAGUGACGGUACCUGCAGAAAAAGCACCGGCUAACUACGUGCCAGCAGCCGCGGUAAUACGUAGGGUGCAAGCGUUGUCCGGAAUUAUUGGGCGUAAAGAGCUCGUAGGCGGUUUGUCGCGUCUGCUGUGAAAACCCGAGGCUCAACCUCGGGCCUGCAGUGGGUACGGGCAGACUAGAGUGCGGUAGGGGAGAUUGGAAUUCCUGGUGUAGCGGUGGAAUGCGCAGAUAUCAGGAGGAACACCAAUGGCGAAGGCAGAUCUCUGGGCCGUAACUGACGCUGAGGAGCGAAAGCAUGGGGAGCGAACAGGAUUAGAUACCCUGGUAGUCCAUGCCGUAAACGUUGGGAACUAGAUGUGGGGACCAUUCCACGGUCUCCGUGUCGCAGCUAACGCAUUAAGUUCCCCGCCUGGGGAGUACGGCCGCAAGGCUAAAACUCAAAGGAAUUGACGGGGGCCCGCACAAGCGGCGGAG
This 907-nucleotide ribosomal RNA is filed under the name uncultured bacterium. Its description in RNAcentral is "bacterial SSU rRNA". It matches the Rfam family "Bacterial small subunit ribosomal RNA", at positions 30 to 937 of the family's 1533-position model. The record is from RNAcentral.